GUGCCUGUAGCUCAGCGGAUAGAGCACUGGUCUUCGGAACCAGGUGUCGGGAGUUCGAAUCUCUCCAGGCACGCCA
This 76-nucleotide transfer RNA is filed under the name Chloroflexota bacterium. Its description in RNAcentral is "tRNA-Arg". It matches the Rfam family "tRNA". From Rfam's summary of the family: Transfer RNA (tRNA) molecules are approximately 80 nucleotides in length. Their secondary structure includes four short double-helical elements and three loops (D, anti-codon, and T loops). Lineage: Bacteria; Bacillati; Chloroflexota. The record is from RNAcentral.